GACGUAGGAGGCGAGCGUUAUCCGGAUUUAUUGGGCGUAAAGGGCGUGUAGGCGGUUCUUUAAGUCUUUGGUGAAAUCUCCCGGCUUAACUGGGAGGAUGCCGAAGAAACUGGAGGACUUGGGGCAGCAGAGGGAAGUGGAAUUCCCGGUGUAGUGGUGAUAUGCGUAGAGAUCGGGAGGAACACCAGUGGCGAAGGCGGCUUUCUGGGCUGUACCUGACGCUGAGGCGCGAAAGCGUGGGGAGCAAACAGG
RNAcentral lists this ribosomal RNA (252 nucleotides) under uncultured bacterium. RNAcentral describes it as "partial 16S ribosomal RNA". It matches the Rfam family "Bacterial small subunit ribosomal RNA", at positions 524 to 776 of the family's 1533-position model. The record is from RNAcentral.